Molecule: ribosomal RNA, 432 nt
Filed under: uncultured bacterium
Lineage: Bacteria
Description: partial 16S ribosomal RNA
Rfam family: Bacterial small subunit ribosomal RNA
Source: RNAcentral
AACGAACGCUGGCGGCAUGCCUAACACAUGCAAGUCGAACGAGACCUUCGGGUCUAGUGGCGCACGGGUGCGUAACGCGUGGGAACCUGCCCUUAGGUUCGGAAUAACUCCCCGAAAGGGGUGCUAAUACCGGAUAAUGUCUUCGGACCAAAGAUUUAUCGCCUUUGGGUGGGCCCGCGUUGGAUUAGGUGGUUGGUAGGGUAAAAGCCUACCAAGGCGACGAUCCAUAGCUGGUCGGAGAGGAUGAUCAGCGAAACUGGGACUGAGCCACGGCCCAUACUCCUAGGGAGGCAGGAGUGGGGAAUAUUGGAGAAUGAGGCAAAACCUGACAAAGCAAUGCCGCGUGAGUGAUGAAGGCCUUAGGGUUGUAAAGAUCUUUUACCCGGGAUGAUAAUGACAGUACCGGGAGAAUAAGCUCCGGCUAACUCCGUG